UAUUUGUCUUUAUAUCAGACUUUAACAACAUUCAUUGUUUUUAUAGAAAUUAAAUUAUAUUUGCAGUAAGCCCGAGAAACACAACUUUCACAGUUCUACUGUAUCGUGUCAGCAUGUACACUUUUCGCUGUAAAAAAUAAAAUCGUCCGAACAAGCAAAACAACAGUACACGACUUUAGAGACUUCAGAGACUGUUUUUAUGUUAGCAAUUGUCCCUUCUGAUGUGCCGUCCCGUCCCGUUUCCAAAGCAACAAAGAACGCAAUAACUUCUGGGUCACAGACCAAACACUAGAGUUUCGUUUACUAAUACUACAUAUAGUAUAAUUAUAUAUAGGCUGCAUUUUUAUAAUACUUGAACAGCAAUACAUUUCAGGUGAUGAAUGGAAUACUUUUGCAGCUGAUGUCAUUAGCACGUUCCACAAAACACGGCCUUAAACUAAAAAACCGUAGGGCUAACGUUAGUAUUCAACAGAUGGUCAGUUAAAAAGCAGGGGAUUAUUGGUGACUCCAUGGCUGCUGUGCAGUAUUUUAUUGAGAGGUUCUCUGUGCCUUGCAACAAGCCAAUGUCCCACCUGCAGCUGGCCUGCUGUUCAUCUCACUGCGCAGUCCCAUGGCAGGACAACAGUAUCAGGAUUUACGAAAACAACAAUCUGGAGCCUCCCUUGGAACUCACUGGUCACCAUGGCGAUGUGUCUGCCAUGGUAAUUGGGACGGUGAGAGAUCGUCUCGUCCUCUGCAGUGCUUCUGAAGAUUAUGUUAUCGUCUGGGACAUUGAUCGCUGCUACAGACGGAUCAGAGAAGGUGUAAGUGCCUCAGGUACAGUUGUUGGCACAUUGCUUGGCAAGGUGGAGCAUCUGUCACUGUGUUCACUGAGUGCAAGAUUGGCCGCAUGCUCAGGCUCCAGAGUGUUUCUGUUGAAUGCAGAGAGAGAGGAUGUGCUUGGAGUUUUGAAAGCUCAUCUUGGUCCUGUGACUGCCUCAGAGUUCUGUCCAUGGGACGUUAAUCUUCUCAUCUCAAUCUCAGAAGACAGAACAUUUAAGAUUUGGGAUGUGAAGAAGGGAGAUAUACUCUUUGAAUCUGCUGUCCUGUCAGCGUAUCCACUGCUUAGUCUGUUCUUCGUGGAGCAAAGCAGUCAGUUCAUCACAGGGUCUGGUGAUGGACAGCUUUGGUGUUACACUCUCCCUGUGGACCACAAAUGCCGCUUGGUGACAAAACUGGACCUUUCGAAGCUCGAACAGAAGUAUGAGAGAAACCACAGAAAAUCCAGCUCACCUCAAAAUAGUCCAGAUGGAAUGAUUGGUAAUGAAGUGAGAGGAACAGUGGAGACAACAAAGCCUGUUCUGAAAAUCUGGGCCCAGAAACUGCUCUCCAGUCAUGCUAGCCUCCAGCAGAGAACAAGUUGUGUGUGGAUCGGAAGUUCUGAUGGGCUGUAUCUGCUUGACCUGGAUACUUCAGAGCUUCUCAUGAUUCUUCCACUCAAAGGCAUCAUAAGUGACCUAAGCAUCUCAAUGGCAGGAUCAUGGGCCGUCACUAAUGGACUUGGUGGCAAUAUGUGCUGUUUGGUGACUUCUCUAUUUGGGACUUCAGUAACCCUUUUAGAGGUUAAUAGUGCCGGGCUGGACGAGCUCUGUUUUAGGAUGGCAAUGGGCUUCUCUGUGGAUGAGCAACUUUCAGUUGUGCCCAGCUCUCCUCUGAUGACUAUGUCCCCUCUGAAUGCUGAGCUGGCAAAACAUGGCCGAAAACCUCAGAAAAAAAUAGGUGUGAGCUGUCAGAAGAGUGUAAAGGAUCAGGCUUUGGUUUUUCACACGCAAGUGAAGUCAUCAGGAUACAAUACAGCUCCUCAUAGGACAAUGUUUAGACCAAAGACCAGUGUUAAGAAGAAAAGCAACUCUGCCUCAGCAACUAGCACAAAUACGAAAGACCUCUUAAGUGAGUAUCCAUCCCAUUUGGAAGCACCGAGUAUGCCUUACGCUCAUUUAACAGUUUCCACAACUCCAACCCCAGUCAGCUCUCUACAGUUCUCAGGAAAUGGAAAGCAGAUUGCGUGUGGUCUUGGAGAUGGUUCUGUUUUGUUGUAUAACUCUUCACUCACCAGUAACCCAGCUGUCUACACAGGUCACAGUAAGGCUGUGAACACUGUAUGCUGGAGUCACAGUAAGCAGUGGUUUUUAAGUACUUCUGAGGACCCCACCCUUUGCAUCUGGACCCCGAAUGCUUCAGAACCUGUUUUAACCAUGGGAGAUGACCAGUUUGCAAAGCCCAUCAGAAGUGCUCAAUUUUAUUACCUGGACAAGUUUUUACUGUUGGCGUCGGGAUCAAAUCUAAUGCUGUACCUUUACCAUCUGGACACCACAAGAGAUGACAUCAAGAGGUAUAAGCAAAGAAGCAAGUGCAAAUUGACCAGUAAAUUCAACAUGAAGUCAGGAACCGACAUCACUUCAAUGUCGGCCAUCAAUGACUUCUACUCCUAUAUCGUCUUGGCUGCUGGCGCUGACCGCACCAUCCAGGUGUUUGAUAUGAACCAGGGCUGUAUGGCCACUCAGAUCCCUGAUGCCCACUGUCGAGCUGUCCACCUCCUCAGCCAGAACAAGGGAUCCGCGUUCUGUACACAGGCCUUGGAAUCGUACAAUCUCUUUCUGAGCAGCGCUAUAACAGAUGGUCUGAAGUUGUGGGACCUGCGCACUGCAAGGUGUGUUCGCCGUUAUGAGAGCCAUGUUAACCGCUGUCACCAUUGCACUGCGGCCUUCUCACCCUGCGGUCGCUUCGUAGCUACUGGCUCAGAGGACCAUUCUGCCUAUAUAUUUGACACACGCAGCAGCAGCUUUCUUCAUAAACUCCCGAGACACUCUGAAACUGUCCUGAAUGUGGCUUUCAACCCUGCUAAUCCAGAGCUGUUGACUGGAACACUCGAUGGAAAGCUGGCUUUGUUUCAUCCGGCCGAAUCUCUUCUCCCUUAAGUGUGGAAUCUGCCCCAAUGGCUCAGUUCUUGACCCAAGUUCACCGAUGCUGCAGACAAAUGAAAUCAGUCACGUUGAGAUUACUCUGCUGGCGUGCCACCUCUGAGACCGACAUCAUGGACGGGAUCUGUGAUAUCAUCAUUUAAGCCACCAUUGACAACCUACAGAUGUGACAACAUGCUCACGCCCUCGAUUGCCAAGCCAAAGACGCACCCUCAGAGAAAAGUCCAUUUGAACAACAGAGUGACUCCUUUUAUGUAAAAUCUGCAUAUACUAUGCACCGGUGAUUUCAGACCCAAAAUAAUUCAUUUUAAUGGAUGGAUGAAAGGAGAUCAUUUUUAGGUAAGUUUAUGUUUUAGGUUUGGUUUUGCAUAAAUUAAAUGCUGUACACCAGAGCCACUUUGGCAUUCUCAUUAUCUUUCAGUCUCACCAGAAUCAAUAGUUGUGUUAAGGUGGCAAUAAAUUGCAGAAUGCAUGCAAGAAAGACAAGAUUCAGAAGCCUGAAGUGAUAGAGAAGAAUGCUGAGUCUUUAAUGAUGGGUGGUGUCCACUACAACUGCUGGCAGCAUUUCUGCGCCAAUUACUUUUCUGAGGUCAUUCUGCGCUCUGCCCAUUUAGCAACUAUCCCAUAGAGGGUUAUCUUUAGCAAAGCAUGUUUUGCAAUGGUUUAUAUUGACUCUCCUGACUGUUAAUGUUAUACCUUAAUAUUUAACUGUAUUGAUGUACAGCAAAUAAUAAGUUUGCAUUUAAAAAAAAAAACUAAAUAUGAAUAAUAUUUUAAUGCUGGAUUAUAUGUUUCCUAUGUAUGUGAGAAUUUACUGUGGGUUACAUUUUUUUCUAUUUUGAAAGUAUAUGAAAUACCAAGAUAAAACUAAAGAAAAGUACUUUUUUUUUUAGUUUUAUUUGGACAUAAGUUCUAAGUGUGAAUGGAAACAAUUCAGCAGUUUUGGUUCAUUGUCAUUGGUCACGUUUGAGCUCUACUUUUGAAUUAAAGAAAAAUAAUAAUGCUUCAACUUCUCUCUUAUACAAUAAUUGGGGUUGGCUGCUCUUUCUAAACAAAGAAGCUGUGCACUUCUAAUGGUUAACAGAGAGAUGUCAAAUAUGGAUGCACAUAACUACUGAAUUGGCCAUAAUGUUCUUAACCCCAUCCCUAGCACAGCCAGUUUAACCUAUUACUAUUAUUAAAAAUUAAAACAACGUAAUAAAUAAAUAUAUCAGUUAUUGCUACAUAGUCAGUUUUUCAACACCUCUGUUUUCAAGUCAUUUAGAUGCUCAUGGAAAACAAACUUUGGUUAU
Carassius gibelio (silver crucian carp) is the source of this 4252-nucleotide RNA transcript. It is a transcript of the gene named WD repeat-containing protein 27, with no coding region annotated. The record is from RefSeq and is a predicted model, not a curated record. NCBI's taxonomy places the organism in Eukaryota, Metazoa, Chordata, Actinopteri, Cypriniformes, Cyprinidae. The transcript is spliced from 26 exons.